GCAGUGUUUCGUCAUGGGCGCAGCCUGAUCAGCCAUGCCGCGUGUGUGAAGAAGGCCUUAUGGUUGUAAAGCACUUUAAGCGAGGAGGAGGCUACUUUAGUUAAUACCUAGAGAUAGUGGACGUUACUCGCAGAAUAAGCACCGGCUAACUCUGUGCCAGCAGCCGCGGUAAUACAGAGGGUGCAAGCGUUAAUCGGAUUUACUGGGCGUAAAGCGCGCGUAGGCGGCUAAUUAAGUCAAAUGUGAAAUCCCCGAGCUUAACUUGGGAAUUGCAUUCGAUACUGGUUAGCUAGAGUGUGGGAGAGGAUGGUAGAAUUCCAGGUGUAGCGGUGAAAUGCGUAGAGAUCUGGAGGAAUACCGAUGGCGAAGGCAGCCAUCUGGCCUAACACUGACGCUGAGGUGCGAAAGCAUGGGGAGCAAACAGGAUUAGAUACCCUGGUAGUCCAUGCCGUAAACGAUGUCUACUAGCCGUUGGGGCCUUUGAGGCUUUAGUGGCGCAGCUAACGCGAUAAGUAGACCGCCUGGGGAGUACGGUCGCAAGACUAAAACUCAAAUGAAUUGACGGGGGCCCGCACAAGCGGUGGAGCAUGUGGUUUAAUUCGAUGCAACGCGAAGAACCUUACCUGGCCUUGACAUAGUAAGAACUUUCCAGAGAUGGAUUGGUGCCUUCGGGAACUUACAUACAGGUGCUGCAUGGCUGUCGUCAGCUCGUGUCGUGAGAUGUUGGGUUAAGUCCCGCAACGAGCGCAACCCUUUUCCUUAUUUGCCAGCGAGUAAUGUCGGGAACUUUAAGGAUACUGCCAGUGACAAACUGGAGGAAGGCGGGGACGACGUCAAGUCAUCAUGGCCCUUACGGCCAGGGCUACACACGUGCUACAAUGGUCGGUACAAAGGGUUGCUACCUAGCGAUAGGAUGCUAAUCUCAAAAAGCCGAUCGUAGUCCGGAUUGGAGUCUGCAACUCGACUCCAUGAAGUCGGAAUCGCUAGUAAUCGCGGAUCAGAAUGCCGCGGUGAAUACGUUCCCGGGCCUUGUACACACCGCCCGUCACACCAUGGGAGUUUGUUGCACCAGAAGUAGCUAGCCUAACUGCAAAGAGGGCGGUUACCACGGUGUGGCCGAUGACUGGGGGUGAGUACA
Molecule: ribosomal RNA, 1138 nt
Filed under: Acinetobacter sp.
Lineage: Bacteria; Pseudomonadati; Pseudomonadota; Gammaproteobacteria; Moraxellales; Moraxellaceae
Description: bacterial SSU rRNA
Rfam family: Bacterial small subunit ribosomal RNA
Source: RNAcentral